Molecule: non-coding RNA, 63 nt
Organism: Pseudomonas sp. CF150
Lineage: Bacteria; Pseudomonadati; Pseudomonadota; Gammaproteobacteria; Pseudomonadales; Pseudomonadaceae
Source: Rfam
GGGUGCGUUGUUGCAUAAAGCACGGCGCAGGUUAAAAGCCAAGCAUUGGUCGGGCCGCCAAUG